Molecule: ribosomal RNA, 253 nt
Filed under: uncultured bacterium
Lineage: Bacteria
Description: partial 16S ribosomal RNA
Rfam family: Bacterial small subunit ribosomal RNA
Source: RNAcentral
UACGGAGGGGGCUAGCGUGGUUCGGAAUUACUGGGCGUAAAGCGCACGUAGGCGGACUGUUAAGUCGGGGGUGAAAUCCUGGGGCUCAACCUCAGAAUUGCCUCCGAUACUGGCAGUCUCGAGUGCGGGAGAGGUGAGAGGAAUUCCCAGUGUAGAGGUGAAAUUCGUAGAUAUUGGGAAGAACACCAGUGGCGAAGGCGGCUCACUGGCCCGUAACUGACGCUGAGGUGCGAAAGCGUGGGGAGCAAACAGG